Long non-coding RNA from Gossypium arboreum, 576 nucleotides. RefSeq lists it as uncharacterized. Lineage: Eukaryota; Viridiplantae; Streptophyta; Magnoliopsida; Malvales; Malvaceae. The transcript has 2 exons. The record is from RefSeq and is a predicted model, not a curated record.
GGAAGGAAUUAUCCAAAAAAAAAAAAAAAAAGUAAUGGUGGUUUCUUUACGCGUCACUAUAGUGUUCAAGUAUGCAAUUAUAUAUAGUUGUCUACUUGAAUGAAAAAUAUUAUAGGCAAGCAACAAAUAGGAAGAAAGCGGUGCAAUAGAUCAACAAAAAUGGAACAUAUUGGAGAACCUGAGAAGCUUGUAGAGAGCAUCACUUACAUGGACGCUCCUUUGUUUUAAGGCUGCAGCAGAAGGCAAAAUUGAAGAGUUUGAUAAUUGCCAGGGGCUUGACCUUGAGUCACUAAAGACCCCAAACUAUGACAAUGUGCUCCAUGUUAACUUGGCAAACAGCGUGCGUACUGCGAGUGCAUGGUCUUUUAAAUCAAGGUCCAGACGCAGUAACAGAUCAGAUUUUGUCAAAAAAAUUCUUGGCAAGUGUCACCUGCCGCAUAUAUGGUUGUAGUGAUGAUAACUAAAUUCAUAAAAUAAUAUAAUGAGUUUCAUCUGCUACAAUUCGUUGUAGCAAAUUAAGUUCUUUUUUGUAAUUAAUAAGUUUAUUUUCGAGUAAUUUGAUUACAUUUCGUUUAA